GGUGGCUUAGUGGUAGAGCACUUGCCUUGCAUGCACGAGGCCCUGGGUUCGAUUCCUCAGCACCA
Molecule: transfer RNA, 65 nt
Filed under: Dipodomys ordii (Ord's kangaroo rat)
Lineage: Eukaryota; Metazoa; Chordata; Mammalia; Rodentia; Heteromyidae
Rfam family: tRNA
About the family: Transfer RNA (tRNA) molecules are approximately 80 nucleotides in length.
Source: Rfam by way of RNAcentral